Molecule: ribosomal RNA, 253 nt
Filed under: uncultured bacterium
Lineage: Bacteria
Description: partial 16S ribosomal RNA
Rfam family: Bacterial small subunit ribosomal RNA
Source: RNAcentral
UACGGAGGGGGCAAGCGUUAUUCGGAAUUAUUGGGCGUAAAGGGCGUGUAGGCGGCCUCGUAUGUCCCAUGUGAAAGCCCUCGGCUCAACCGAGGAACUGCAUGGGAAACGGCAAGGCUUGAGUCCGGGAGAGGAGAGUGGAAUUCCCAGUGUAGCAGUGAAAUGCGUAGAUAUGCGGAGGAACACCGAUGGCGAAGGCAAUCCCCUGGGCCUGCACUGACGCUCAUGCACGAAAGCGUGGGGAGCAAACAGG